This 5161-nucleotide long non-coding RNA is filed under the name Manihot esculenta (cassava). Its description in RNAcentral is "long non-coding RNA (MESC_LNC003099)". Lineage: Eukaryota; Viridiplantae; Streptophyta; Magnoliopsida; Malpighiales; Euphorbiaceae. The record is from RNAcentral.
UGUGCUUAAUUUAUUGUUGCUUUGUUGUUUUGAUCAAAUUGGCCACUUGAUUCUUGAUUGCAAAGUAAUUCUUUGUUAGUUUGGAUAGUUUGAAGUCCGUAAUUGCUUGAAUUAUUCAAACACAAGUAACCCUUGGUGUAAAAACCUAGGAAAUUGCAUAAUCUAGCAAUAUCAACAUACGUUUGGGUAGCUAGAAUUAGGUCUCUCUUUUUCUUAAUGCAAUUAACAGUUGUUAGAUGCCAAAGGCCCAAGGACGUUCCUUGGCAACUUGUUGAUUAGUGAUUAAUUAGAGGACGUUCCCUAAUCAAUCUAUGCUUAAGGAGGGAUAUGGUUGGUGAGAAGCGUCUUCCACCUCCAUAACUAAUUUAUUGAGUUAAAUAAGAGAAUAUAAGUUUCAAUGAUCAAUCCUAACAACUAAAGUGGAUCCAACUCUUCAACUAGGACUUUCUCAUUAUUGAAUUUCUCUACUUUAAUUAUUUGCUUUUCUCUAUUGCUUUCAAUAUUAGUUUAGUUUAUCAAACCUCAAAACCCCCAUUUUACUUUUAUUGUUUGUUUCUUUACUUGGUCUUGACAAGGAAAAUAAGUAAGUAUCAAUUCCCUAUGGAUUCGACCCUAUUGCCACUAUCUGCAAGUUUAUUGUUGAUUAUUUAAUAGGUUUAUUUUUUACGGCUUCGACAAUCGCUUAUCAAAAAUUGGCGCCGUUGCCGGGGACUUGAUUUAACUUAUUUGUUUUUCUUUCAUGAUCAGAUCUGGACUCAAGAAAUUGAUUCAUGGAUGAGGUAAGUAUAUCUAUUCUCACUGCCCGACUUUCUGAACUAACCUCCGUUGUGAGAAGUUAUGUCAUAGGUCAAGCUCAACAACUUCAGCAGUCUCGGCCAUGUGGGAUUUGCGCAUAUGUAGGACACCCAACUGAUCAAUGUCCUACACUUUAUGAGGAUUACCAACAAGUACAUGCCUUUGGAGGAUUCAUUAGCCAGCCAAGACAUGAUCCCUACCUUGAUACCUACAAUCCAUGUUGGAGGGACCACCCGAAUUAUGACUAUGCAAGGGCUAACUACUACCAAAACUAUCAAGCCUAAGCAACACCUCAAAACUCCUAUAUGGAACUUGAAGAGAUGGUGAGGAGGUUGGAAAUUUCUGGGCAAAAACUCCAACAGCAAGUGGAUCAAGCGGUCAACUCAGUGAACGCACACAUAUUAAGAAAAGAGGAAGAUCUUCAAGAUCUAUGGGAUGAUGACGAAGGUUCCCAAGAAACAGACCGAGCUGCUGAAUCUAGCUGCAAAAUUGUUGAAUCAGCCGCUGUCCAAACAACACUUGUUGAAGCUCCUGCCAUCAAAGAGACAACAAUACAUACUGCUGAUGCUGAAAAUAUUGCAGCACCUGCUGUAAAAAAUUCAGACUCUGCUGCUGUCCAAAAAUCAGCAGCUACUGAAAUUGCCCCAACCGAGCCUGAACCUGCUGAAACUUCCACAAUUACACCAUAAAUUGCUGAACCCGCUGCUGUCCAUAAAUCAACAAUUGCAGAAAUUGCCCCAACUGAACCUGAAGUUACUGCACUUGCUGAACCAGCAAUAUACAUCACAAUACCAGCAUCUACCAAAGCACAGUUUGCAACCCCAGCUGCUGUCCAAAAACCAGCAACUGCUGUGUUUGCCCAAACAGCACAGCCCACUACUGUGUCUGCCCAAACACCUGCUGAUGUGGAUCAAAAUGGUGUACUAACCAAUGAUUUUUGUAGGGAGGACAGCCAAGAAGAUGAAAGAAGCCAAGUAGAGCUGAAACGGACAGCAAUGAACUGCUGCAUGCAGAGGACAGAUUGUUGUUUGCCCAAACAGCCUGGGCAAACAAGCAGACAGGAGGCAGAACAGGCAGAUUACUGUUUGCCCAAACAGCCAGCAAAGGCAGAACAGGCAAUCCUCUGUUUGCCCAAACAGGUUCAGCAGCCAACUAAGACAGAAUGCAGACUGGCCAAGUCAAUCCAGCAAGAAGAACUCUGUUUGCCCAAACCAGUUGGGCAAACAGCUCCAGCAGAACACUGUUCACCUGAAAAACCAGCAGAAGAAAAGAAGGUAGAAUCUUGUUUGCCCGAACAGCAGCCAGCAAAGGAGCAUGAGGAAAGUUGCUGUUUGCCCAAACAGCAGGGAGAAGGAGAAUCCAGCUUUUCCAAACAGCAAACCAAGGCAGAAUCUUGUUUGCCCAAACAAGCUAUGCAGAUUGUACAAGAAGAUUGUUGUUUGCCCAAACAGCAAGAUAAGGUAUAAUUUGUUUUGUCCGAAUUCAAAUUGCAGCCACAUAUGGAGAAAUAUGAAUUGGAGUUCGAAGUACUGCCCAAUCAUCUCAAAUAUGCACACAUAAGGACUAGAGGCACACCUCAUCUGAAAGAGAAGAAGCUAAUCAUGUUACUUUAUGAGUACAUGAAAGAAAUAGGAUGGGUUGUGACCAAAUCAAAAGGCACGCUACACUUUUUACUUAAUGCAGUUGGAACCAUUUUCCCUCCUCCAAUUACUUGAGCCUUGAUCAAGUCAAGAAAGUCUAGCCCGCGACUUUAAACUAAGGCGCUACUGGGAGGCAACCCAGCGGAGACAUGCCCAAUCAAGGAAGAUUUUCCAGACGAAAAAAAAAAAACAGAGAUAUGUGACUGUUUGCCCAAACAGCAUGGGCAAACAACCAGAGAUGCAGGAACCAGAGGAGUUAACCCACUUCCAGAUUUUAGCUGUUUUGUAGGUAAAGGCUGGAUGACCAAACUGUUUGCCCAAACACACUGGGCAAACUGCAGAGAAGACUACCAGGGCACACUGUUUGCCCACACAAGCUGGGCAAACACCUACAGCAGAUCGGCAGCAGCCCACAUCAGUAGACCAACCAGCAGACAGUCCACCACCAGCCAGUAGGCCAACCACAAGCGCAACAGUACACCAGACCAGUACAUCCUGCCACCUGCACACAGAAAUACCUGACGCAUCCAGCUGUUUGCCCAAACAGAACUGGGCAAACAACCACACCAGGGAAGUAUCAGUUUUUCACUUGAACUUUAAUUUUUCCAUACAUUGAGGACAAUGCAUGAGUUAGGUGUGGGGGUGCAUAUCUCUGAAUUUUGAUGCUUCAUGCAUACUUUUUGAUUCCUCUUAAUUUCUUUUAAGCUUUAAUUUUCAAUUAGUACACAUUAGGUUGAAUUUUUUUUCAUUUUUAGUUAUUUUUGCUUUCAACUCACACACAUUCACAUAGCCACAGUCUUUUCUUUUUACUGUUUUGAUAUGCUUUACUCAAACACACAGGCUAUGGUGAAUGAGUUUUCUUCUCAUGACCCCAUUGAUGUGAUGACCCUUUAAACCUAAGUUGAAUCAAUUGUAGUGAGUUGUAUUCAUUUUUGGAAAUUUCCUUUUGAAUUGAAUCUUUGAGCUUGUCAUGGUGAAAAAUAUAUUGAUGACCCUCAUUAGAGAGAAUAAAUCGAAAGUUGUGUGAAUGAACUAAAUAUGACUUAUUUUGGCAAUUGGUGUUGAUUUGCCCCAAUCAUUGAGAAAAAGAAAAAAAAAAUUCAGUAAAGGCAAAGACCUCAAAAGCACAAAGUAAAAACUGUUCCAAUGGUCAAAGACUAUGAACAGAGCUAGUAGCCACUUGGACAAGUGACCAACUGAGUAACUGGGGGUGGGUAUCACAAAUAUGUACCUUCACGUCAAAAGGUUGGUGACUUUUCCAAGCAAGAAUAAAAGUGCAAAAGCUGAAUAAAAGAGUAAAGUGCUUCAAGAAAAGGGCAAAUCACUCUGAAAGCUAGAAAGAGUCUAAAAAUAAACAAAUAUGUGCAUGAUAUAUCUCUUGAGGAAAAUAAAUACUAACCAUGCUAGGUAAAGGGAGACAAGGAAAAGAGGAAAGUAACCUUGGUGCAUACACUCUUCACUACAAUGCUUCAAAGUAGGAGUCUAGGGUAUGAGCUUAAGUGGAAAUAAGGAUCAAGUAGUAAGAAAGCUUAUUUGACUAAGUCUAUUUGCUUGAGGACAAGCAAAGGGUUAGGUGUGGGGGUAUUUGAUAGAGCCAAAUUUAGACCCAUUUUCCAUAUUAAUAUUUAUGUUAAUUUACACAUUUUCUACCUAAUUUUGUGGUUUUAACCUUAUUUUGCAGAAAAUGGAGUAAAAUGGUAAUUUGGCAAAAAUGGCCUUAAAUCUGCCCAAAUGAGAGCAAAAUUGCACAAGCAUGGUUUGCCCAAAUUGUUUGCCCAAACCAAAGUUGAAGCUGAAAUGGAAGAGGAACAAUCUGCUGUUUGACCAGACUGUUUGCCCAAACAGACUGGGCAAACAGACCAGCCAAGGCAGAAACUUGUUUGCCCAAACAACCCGGGCAAACAGCACCAGCAACCAGCAGACAGUAAAUUGCGGGAAAAUCAAAAUUCAAAUGCUCAAGAAGUGUUUUUCCUCCCAAACACGUGUGGACAGCUCAGCAAACCCUAGAGACACCUCAGCACUCAAUCCCACAUAUUUAGGAAGACAAAUCUCAUCAAAAUACAAUUAUCUUCCAAGAAUUCAACUCCAAUUGGGAAAAGGAGUCCCAACUCAACAAGGAAACCCUAGGGCAGCCUCUUCAGCUAUAAAAGGGCAUGCAAACCAGCAGAUCAAUCAUCUUUGGAUCAUCUUUGGAUCAUCAUACAUCCUCGGCAGAAGCUACACCAGCAGCCGCACCACACCAGCAGGCCAAUUGGCCCUUUUUCUCCUUCUUUUUGCUUUCUUUCUUUUCUUUUUGUGUUAGUUUCAGCCAUGAGUGGCUGAAACCCUUUUUCUAGUUGAAGAAUAAGGUGAAACUUUGGUUGUUUAUGGAUUGGGAGAUCUGAACCUUCAUGUUAUUCUUUUAUUAAUCAGUAUUUAUGCAAUUUUGUGCUUAAUUUAUUGUUGCUUUGUUGUUUUGAUCAAAUUGGCCACUUGAUUCUUGAUUGCAAAGUAAUUCUUUGUUAGUUUGGAUAGUUUGAAGUCCGUAAUUGCUUGAAUUAUUCAAACACAAGUAACCCUUGGUGUAAAAACCUAGGAAAUUGCAUAAUCUAGCAAUAUCAACAUACGUUUGGGUAGCUAGAAUUAGGUCUCUCUUUUUCUUAAUGCAAUUAACAGUUGUUAGAUGCCAAAGGCCCAAGGACGUUCCUUGGCAACUUGUUGAUUAGUGAUUAAUUAGAGGACGUUCC